Molecule: ribosomal RNA, 505 nt
Filed under: uncultured bacterium
Lineage: Bacteria
Description: partial 16S ribosomal RNA
Rfam family: Bacterial small subunit ribosomal RNA
Source: RNAcentral
GACGAACGCUGGCGGCGUGCCUAAUACAUGCAAGUAGAACGCACAGUUUAUACCGUAGCUUGCUACACCAUAGACUGUGAGUUGCGAACGGGUGAGUAACGCGUAGGUAACCUGCCUGGUAGCGGGGGAUAACUAUUGGAAACGAUAGCUAAUACCGCAUAAUAUUGAUUAUUGCAUGAUAAUUGAUUGAAAGAUGCUAUUGCAUCACUACCAGAUGGACCUGCGUUGUAUUAGCUAGUAGGUGAGGUAACGGCUCACCUAGGCGAAGAUACAUAGCCGACCUGAGAGGGUGGUCGGCCAAACCGGGACUGGAGACAGGCCCAGACUCCUACGGGAGGCAGCCGUAAGGAAUCUUCGGCAAUGGACGAAAGUCUGACCGAGCAACGCCGCGUGAGUGAAGAAGGUUUUCGGAUCGUAAAGCUCUGUUGUAAGAGAAGAACGGGUGUGAGAGUGGAAAGUUCACACUGUGACGGUACCUUACCAGAAAGGGACGGCUAACUACGUG